GAUGAACGCUGGCGGCGUGCCUCAACAUGCAAGUCGAGCGGGGCUAUGUAAUAUCGCAAAGGUAGAACAUAGCCUAGCGGCGAACGGGUGAGUAACACGUGGGUAACCUGCCUGGAAGACAGGGAUAACGAUUCGAAAGGGUCGCUAAUACCUGAUAAUAUCCUUUCAUCGCAUGGUGAUAGGAAGAAAGGGGGAAACCCGCUUUCAGAUCGGGCCCGCGUCCCAUCAGCUAGUUGGUAAGGUAAAGGCUUACCAAGGCGACGACGGGUAGCCGGUCUGAGAGGAUGUACGGCCACACUGGGACUGAGAUACGGCCCAGACUCCUACGGGAGGCAGCAGUUGGGAAUCUUAGGCAAUGGACGAAAGUCUGACCUAGCGACGCCGCGUGAGGGAAGAAGGCCUUCGGGUUGUAAACCUCUGUCAUGGGGGAAGAAGUAAGUGACGGUACCCCAAGAGGAAGCCCCUGCUAACUACGUG
This 477-nucleotide ribosomal RNA is filed under the name uncultured bacterium. RNAcentral's name for it is "bacterial SSU rRNA". It matches the Rfam family "Bacterial small subunit ribosomal RNA", at positions 28 to 507 of the family's 1533-position model. The record is from RNAcentral.